AAAAGACUUAGUCCUAACCUUACCGUUAGUUUUUGCUAGGUAUAUACAUGCAAGUAUCCGCGCGCCAGUGUAAAAGCCCUGGAAACCCUUAACCCCGGUAGAUAGGAGCGGACAUCAGGCACACCACUUAAACUGUAGCCCAAGACGUCUUGCAAUUGCCACGCCCCCACGGGUCCUCAGCAGUAGUUAACAUUAAGCAAUGAGUGUAAACUUGACUUAGCCAUAGCAAAUUUAGGGGUGGUAAAUCCUGUGCCAGCCACCGCGGUCAUACAGGAAACCCAAAUUAACGUUAUAACGGCGUAAAGUGUGGUACCAUGCUAUCCAAGUAGCUAAGAUUAAAAAGCAACUGAGCCGUCACAAGCCCAAGAUGCUCAUAAGGCCUCCGUCCUCAAAGAAGAUCUUAGAAAAACGAUUAAUUGAAAUCCACGAAAGCCAGGGCCCAAACUGGGAUUAGAUACCCCACUAUGCCUGGCCCUAAAUCUUGAUGCUUAAUAUAACCCAAGCAUCCGCCCGAGAACUACGAGCACAAACGCUUAAAACUCUAAGGACUUGGCGGUGCCCCAAACCCACCUAGAGGAGCCUGUUCUGUAAUCGAUGAUCCACGAUAUUACCUGACCACUUCUCGCUAGUUCAGCCUAUAUACCGCCGUCGCCAGCCCACCUACUUUGAAAGCCCAACAGUGGACGCAAUAGCCCAACCACGCUAAUAAGACAGGUCAAGGUAUAGCCUAUGGAGUGGAAGUAAUGGGCUACAUUUUCUAGACUAGAACAUAACGGCAAAGGGAUCUGAAACGGUCUCUGGAAGGAGGAUUUAGCAGUAAAGUGGGACAAUCGAGCCCUCUUUAAGCCGGCCCUGGGACAUGUACAUACCGCCCGUCACCCUCCUCAAAGGCGAUUCAUUCACCAAUAAAAUAAUAAGCUAUCCAGCCAAAGAGGAGGUAAGUCGUAACAAGGUAAGUGUACCGGAAGGUGCACUUAGACUACC
RNAcentral lists this non-coding RNA (984 nucleotides) under Phainopepla nitens. Its description in RNAcentral is "12S ribosomal RNA". It matches the Rfam family "Bacterial small subunit ribosomal RNA". Lineage: Eukaryota; Metazoa; Chordata; Aves; Passeriformes; Bombycillidae. The record is from RNAcentral.